AAGAAGAAAACAUUUCGUAGGCUGGCGACAGGAAAUAUAUUUAGAAGGAACGAUAACGGGGCCAACAUUUUGCGUCAGAUUUGUUGCGAAGCAAAGUUGGCUGAGAUAAGUCAAAGUGAGCUAAAUGGCGUUUCAGUGAGCAGACAGUUUGGCAGCUUUGAACGACAUCCCAAGAUAAACUUAUUUUCGGGUUUUGUGAACCAGGCAGGGAGGCACGUGAACUCGAAUGCUAUACAAUUCUACGUUUUGAUUCUUCCAUGACGUUACACGUUCCAGCCAGACCCCAAUUAUCCAUAGAAAGAAAAAGAAUGGGUGACUGAAAUUUUAAAAGGAAGGUUGAUGCGAUGCGAUGUCUCUACGUUCGACCUUUCAUGCUGCACACAGAAAACGAAUGGAUUCGACUUUUCAAAAAUAAAAAGAACGUACACAAGACUGGCCUUGGCUUGAUCUUGGACUCUUGCAUGAUGAAUGUGUAUACGGUUGUAACU
Molecule: long non-coding RNA, 488 nt
Organism: Folsomia candida
Lineage: Eukaryota; Metazoa; Arthropoda; Collembola; Entomobryomorpha; Isotomidae
Exons: 2
Source: RefSeq, a predicted model, not a curated record